Vigna unguiculata (cowpea) is the source of this 1242-nucleotide long non-coding RNA. RefSeq lists it as uncharacterized. NCBI's taxonomy places the organism in Eukaryota, Viridiplantae, Streptophyta, Magnoliopsida, Fabales, Fabaceae. The record is from RefSeq and is a predicted model, not a curated record.
AGGAGUGCAUGUGGUAACAGAGGGGUGCGAAGGAUAAAAAUGGAGGUGCAGCGAGCAGUAGAAAUGGGCUGAUCGAAUUAUUUGAAAUAAGAAACUGAAAACCCUAAUUUUAACUCAAGCCCCCUUCUCUUUAGUUCACCACGACAACCCUUCCUCUCUUCUCCCGAGCAGUCGCCGCAUCCAUCGAACCUCCGCCUAGUUGCAUCUCUGGAGCUCGUCGCCGCUCAACCAGAGGCCAUUGUCGGCGCCACUGCGAUGCUCUUGACCGAGACUGCCACCGGCACAGACGAGAAACUCGCGGUUUCUUCUCUUCAUUUUUUUUGUGCGAGACAGACCACUUCUUCCCCUCGUGACCACAAGACAAUAUCGAUCCUCCUCACGGCUACACAACUUUGCUCGCCGGAUACUGCCGUCAGCGGUUUCAGCCGGUGUCCACGCUGGCUCCCCAUUCGUCUCCAAUCUUCGACUCUCCUCUUCCGCGAGAGAGAAAGGUGCGCGAGCCACCGCGAUUGGGUCUGCUACCAUCACGCUCCUCCGCUUAGAGCUCCGACGACGCAACGUGAACGCCGCUGCUGCCGCGACGAGACGUGCCACCGGUGAUGCCAAGCUUCCAAAUGUUCAACUAUCUCCUUCCACAAGAAAGAAAGGUGCGCGACGACUCUGAGGCUCGUCACCACCGUGCCAGCCACCGCGAUUGGGUCUGCAACCAUCACGCGGCCACACUCCUCCGUUCACGCGACCACAAGCGACCAUACUCCAGUGGAAAUGGUGAUGUGAUGUUGAGAUGGUGGCUCUACGAAAGGGGUAUGCUAUGGGAGUGGGAAUGUUGCGAUGGUGAAGGAGAAAGUGUGUGAAGGGUCUGAAGUGGUGCCAAACUAGGAUGAAGACUUGUGGGAUAAAACCUGAUCUGUGUGUGCGUGCAUGCUGAGUUUGGUAUCUGUUUUUUUUUUAUUUUGGUUUUUUAUGCAGGUGAAUGUGAAGAUGAGGAUGAAAGUGAUUCAGGUUCAGCGGGAGAAAGGUAGGGGUAAUGAAGACUCGGUUGGGAAUGAAAGUGUGGUGGGUUAGAAGGUAUAGCUGGUUUUGUUGUGUGUGUACAUACGGGGGAGGAUAGAUCGGCGUGAGGAUUCAAUAGAGAGGAUAGUGGAGGAUUCAAACAACAAUAAUGUAGUAAUAUAGAUUCAAUGAGCCAAACAAAUGACAAGCAACACUGAAUAUAUAUGACUACAUUUUAUUCAUUCUCAA